GACAGAGGGUGCAAACGUUGUUCGGAAUUACUGGGCGUAAAGCGCGUGUAGGCUGUUUCGCAAGUCGGAUGUGAAAGCCCUGGGCUCAACCUAGGAAGUGCAUUCGAAACUGCGAGACUUGAGUCCUGGAGAGGAAGGCGGAAUUCUCGGUGUAGAGGUGAAAUUCGUAGAUAUCGAGAGGAACACCGGUGGCGAAGGCGGCCUUCUGGACAGUGACUGACGCUGAGACGCGAAAGCGUGGGGAGCAAACAGG
RNAcentral lists this ribosomal RNA (253 nucleotides) under uncultured bacterium. RNAcentral describes it as "partial 16S ribosomal RNA". It matches the Rfam family "Bacterial small subunit ribosomal RNA", at positions 524 to 776 of the family's 1533-position model. The record is from RNAcentral.